AAACCAUGAUGUGGGCACUUCCUCAUUAAUUCCUUGGAUCUCUCCCAAGCUCGUACAACGACCGGCAUCAUCUUAUAAAAUGAUGUGAUAUCAUUUCUCAAUUU
Small nucleolar RNA from Pistacia vera, 104 nucleotides. The record is from RefSeq and is a predicted model, not a curated record. NCBI's taxonomy places the organism in Eukaryota, Viridiplantae, Streptophyta, Magnoliopsida, Sapindales, Anacardiaceae.